RNAcentral lists this long non-coding RNA (430 nucleotides) under Triticum aestivum (bread wheat). RNAcentral describes it as "long non-coding RNA (TAES_LNC024377)". The record is from RNAcentral. Lineage: Eukaryota; Viridiplantae; Streptophyta; Magnoliopsida; Poales; Poaceae.
CAAACCAAGGGCUUCCUUUAAUAGCUAUAAGUUUUACAUCACCGAGAAACAAAUUCUACAAUAAUGUUGGUAAGCAUCAUAUUCACAUGCCACAGCCAAAAAGAGCAAGCACAUAGUAUUCUAAGAAUGGCCCAUAAAACUAAGCGAUGUAGCAGAGGAAGGUGGCAAACCUUAAUCACAGCACGACAUCCGCUGGCUACUGAUGGAUUGAACAAUACCUGGAAGAAGAACAUAGCAAUACACACAUCAAAAAGAGGCCAAGACAUGGACUGGAUCAAAUGCAUAUCCUACCGGAAAAGAAACAAUAGUUGGAGGUUCGCCAUCAUGGAAGGAGGUGGAUAACAACUUCUUGUUAGAUUUUAUUGGCCACCGCAGAAAUAAAUAGAAAUCGUAACAUCCCCAUGAUUGAUAACAGGAAAUAAUAACUUAC